UGAUAUAAAAUAUUCUGAAUGUAGUGACAUUUUGUCGAACGAUAUUUAUUUUUUAUUUAUAUUAUAUUUCUGUUUCGAUUCAUCGCAUUCAAUGUAUACAAUAUUUCGUAUUAAUUAUGUCAAUUGAGAUUUACAAAUGACAGGAAAGGCGUAAAAACAUUAAUUAUCCUACAUUCUAAAUUUUAGGUUAAAACUCUACAAAAUUUUUGCCCAUUCGUUUAUUAAUGUCAAAAAAAAUAUUUUCGUAGGAAAUAUUCUCGAAUAUGAUAAUGUACAAUGGUGGUUGAUGUAUCAAAGAUAAAAUUUACUUAUGAGAUAUCUCUUUAUGCUGUUAAAUUGAUGAAAAAAUGUAUAAUACGUAUGGCUGAAAUUUAUAAGCAUUUUACUCAUCAUUAAGAAUGAAGAACGUCGAGGAAAAAGGUGGAAGUAAAGAAAAUCUAAGAGCGGUUUGUAAAAUUGCUAAGAAAAUCAAAUGUUCCAUAUACACAUAUAUGCUACUCCGUUUUCAGUGGUGUUACUUUUAAUAUCUUUAUCAGUAUGGCUAUGUAUAUGUCGGUGGGGAUUUCGAUAUAAUUUAAAAGAUCGAGAAAUUUUGUCCUGUUUAAUUUUGUACUUUAUUGUCAUCACUUUGUUGAAUAUGUUCUUUUUGGGCCACAUGCAAUUUUAUUGCGAUCAUCCACAUGGAAUCAAAAAUUAAA
Apis mellifera (honey bee) is the source of this 698-nucleotide long non-coding RNA. RefSeq lists it as uncharacterized. The transcript is spliced from 3 exons. NCBI's taxonomy places the organism in Eukaryota, Metazoa, Arthropoda, Insecta, Hymenoptera, Apidae. The record is from RefSeq and is a predicted model, not a curated record.